UUGUUUCAAUAAUAUGUCUCUGUGUGCGUGCAGGUUGAGGGAACAGAAUAAAAAUCCUCUGGGAAAUCAACACUUCCUUGUGCUUUGGUUGCCAAAGAAAGGACUUCUGCAAAGGAGUGAAUGAAAGGACCUGCAAACAACUGAGGGAUAAAUCUCCCCAACUGCUUUAAACCAAUUUCAAUGGAAGUGCUGCAGGACCUGAUGAGAAAAACUUUCCCUGUUCAAAAUGAGAAAAUGCACUCUCCAUAUGAGUCAAGAGAGAGAGAACUAUGCCAAGGAAUGUAAAUGAAGUCGGUGCAGAUUUACAGUUUAGAGUUUGAGAUCCCAGAUGUUCCUUUAUCAGCACUGGAGGGGAAUCAAAAUUAUAAGUAGGAGAAUAUCACAGGACCUGCUGCAGCUCCCCGUCUGGAUGCCCCACAACCACUCAUGUCAAUUACCUGAAGCUCUUCCUAACCAUGUACUUCCCGAUGACUUCCUGUGA
Molecule: long non-coding RNA, 481 nt
Filed under: Chinchilla lanigera (long-tailed chinchilla)
Lineage: Eukaryota; Metazoa; Chordata; Mammalia; Rodentia; Chinchillidae
Description: lncRNA (ENSCLAG00000024667.1)
Source: RNAcentral